CCUACGGGGGGCAGCAGUGGGGAAUAUUGGACAAUGGGGGCAACCCUGAUCCAGCCAUGCCGCGUGUGUGAAGAAGGCCCUCGGGUUGUAAAGCACUUUCAGUGAGGAAGAACGCCUGGUGGUUAAUACCCAUCAGGAAAGACAUCACUCACAGAAGAAGCACCGGCUAACUCCGUGCCAGCAGCCGCGGUAAUACGGAGGGUGCGAGCGUUAAUCGGAAUUACUGGGCGUAAAGCGCGCGUAGGUGGCUUGAUAAGCCGGUUGUGAAAGCCCCGGGCUCAACCUGGGAACGGCAUCCGGAACUGUCAAGCUAGAGUGCAGGAGAGGAAGGUAGAAUUCCCGGUGUAGCGGUGAAAUGCGUAGAGAUCGGGAGGAACACCAGUGGCGAAGGCGGCCUUCUGGACUGACACUGACACUGAGGUGCGAAAGCGUGGGUAGCAAACAGGAUUAGAUACCCCAGUAGUC
RNAcentral lists this ribosomal RNA (465 nucleotides) under Vreelandella stevensii. RNAcentral's name for it is "partial 16S ribosomal RNA". It matches the Rfam family "Bacterial small subunit ribosomal RNA", at positions 338 to 795 of the family's 1533-position model. Lineage: Bacteria; Pseudomonadati; Pseudomonadota; Gammaproteobacteria; Oceanospirillales; Halomonadaceae. The record is from RNAcentral.